GACGAACGCUGGCGGCGCGCCUAACACAUGCAAGUCGAACGGAGCUGAGAGAAGCUUGCUUUUCUUAGCUUAGUGGCGAACGGGUGAGUAACGCGUGAGUAACCUGCCCUGGAGUGGGGGACAACAGUUGGAAACGACUGCUAAUACCGCAUAAGCCCACGAUCCGGCAUCGGAUUGAGGGAAAAGGAUUUAUUCGCUUCAGGAUGGACUCGCGUCCAAUUAGCUAGUUGGUGAGGUAACGGCCCACCAAGGCGACGAUCGGUAGCCGGACUGAGAGGUUGAACGGCCACAUUGGGACUGAGACACGGCCCAGACUCCUACGGGAGGCAGCAGUGGGGGAUAUUGCACAAUGGGGGAAACCCUGAUGCAGCGACGCCGCGUGGAGGAAGAAGGUUUUCGGAUUGUAAACUCCUGUCGUUAGGGACGAUAAUGACGGUACCUAACAAGAAAGCACCGGCUAACUACGUG
RNAcentral lists this ribosomal RNA (468 nucleotides) under uncultured bacterium. Its description in RNAcentral is "partial 16S ribosomal RNA". It matches the Rfam family "Bacterial small subunit ribosomal RNA", at positions 28 to 507 of the family's 1533-position model. The record is from RNAcentral.